This 651-nucleotide long non-coding RNA is filed under the name Cyanistes caeruleus (blue tit). RNAcentral describes it as "lncRNA (ENSCCEG00000006661.1)". The record is from RNAcentral. Lineage: Eukaryota; Metazoa; Chordata; Aves; Passeriformes; Paridae.
CUGGAGCCCCCCCAGGGGCUGGACCCCGGCCAGCUGGAGUGGGUCACCAAGGAGCCGGGGGCCACCGUGCUGGCCGGGCUGCUGGUCCGCGUGGACUGAGCGAAAAACGCGGGAAUUCGCCCCAAAAAACGGGGGGGGGUUCCCGGGAAAAACGGUCCUGGAAAAUAGGGGGGAAUUCCUUUGGGAAAUGUGGGGGAAUUCUUCUGAAAAUGGGGGAAUUCAACCCAAAAAUGGGCAAAUUCUUCCUAAAAAAAUUGGGGGAAUUCUUCCAAAAAUGGGGAAAUUAUUCCCAAAAAAUUGGGGGAAUUCAACCCAAAAAUGGGCAAAUUCUUCCCCAAAAAAAUUGGGAGAAUUCUUCUGAAAAUGGGGGAAUUCAACCCAAAAAUGGGCAAAUUCUUCCCCCAAAAAAUUGGGAGAAUUCUUCUGAAAAUGGGCAAAUUCUUCCCAAAAAAUUGGGGGAAUUCUUCCAAAAAUGGGGGAAUUCAACCCAAAAAUGGGCAAAUUCUUCCCCCCAAAAAAUUGGAGGAAUUCUUCCAAAAAUGGGGGAAUUCAACCCAAAAAUGGGCAAAUUCUUCCCCAAAAAAAAUUGGGGGAAUUCUUCCAAAAAUGGGGGAAUUCCACCCAAAAAUGGGCAAAUUAUUCCCCAAAAAA